This 242-nucleotide long non-coding RNA is filed under the name Helianthus annuus (common sunflower). Its description in RNAcentral is "hypothetical non coding rna". The record is from RNAcentral. Lineage: Eukaryota; Viridiplantae; Streptophyta; Magnoliopsida; Asterales; Asteraceae.
UUUUGGGGGUGUGACAGAUUGGUAUCAGAGCCAUUGGUUAUAGCGAACUUGGUUUUAAUAAGGGGAAAACGUUUUUAUUAAAACCAGACUAUAACCUGUACAGUGCUCAACGAUCCACAACGACGCCUCGCUCCACGUGCAAGACUCAACAUUCUAGGUAAUAUGGACCAUAGGUACUCAUGGAGCUUGCACGGGAGGUGCGAUCGUUGUGGGCACAUGGACUGUUGAGUUCCAUGUCAUAC